RNAcentral lists this non-coding RNA (27 nucleotides) under Mus musculus (house mouse). The record is from RNAcentral. Lineage: Eukaryota; Metazoa; Chordata; Mammalia; Rodentia; Muridae.
UAUAAACAGGGGAGAUAUAAACAGGGG